GGUGCUUGCAUCUUGAUUUAAUUUUGAACGAGUGGCGGACGGGUGAGUAACACGUGGGUAACCUGCCCUUAAGUGGGGGAUAACAUUUGGAAACAGAUGCUAAUACCGCAUAAAUCCAAGAACCGCAUGGUUCUUGGCUGAAAGAUGGCGUAAGCUAUCGCUUUUGGAUGGACCCGCGGCGUAUUAGCUAGUUGGUGAGGUAACGGCUCACCAAGGCAAUGAUACGUAGCCGAACUGAGAGGUUGAUCGGCCACAUUGGGACUGAGACACGGCCCAAACUCCUACGGGAGGCAGCAGUAGGGAAUCUUCCACAAUGGACGCAAGUCUGAUGGAGCAACGCCGCGUGAGUGAAGAAGGCUUUCGGGUCGUAAAACUCUGUUGUUGGAGAAGAAUGGUCGGCAGAGUAACUGUUGUCGGCGUGACGGUAUCCAACCAGAAAGCCACGGCUAACUACGUGCCAGCAGCCGCGGUAAUACGUAGGUGGCAAGCGUUAUCCGGAUUUAUUGGGCGUAAAGCGAGCGCAGGCGGUUUUUUAAGUCUGAUGUGAAAGCCCUCGGCUUAACCGAGGAAGUGCAUCGGAAACUGGGAAACUUGAGUGCAGAAGAGGACAGUGGAACUCCAUGUGUAGCGGUGAAAUGCGUAGAUAUAUGGAAGAACACCAGUGGCGAAGGCGGCUGUCUGGUCUGUAACUGACGCUGAGGCUCGAAAGCAUGGGUAGCGAACAGGAUUAGAUACCCUGGUAGUCCAUGCCGUAAACGAUGAAUGCUAGGUGUUGGAGGGUUUCCGCCCUUCAGUGCCGCAGCUAACGCAUUAAGCAUUCCGCCUGGGGAGUACGACCGCAAGGUUGAAACUCAAAGGAAUUGACGGGGGCCCGCACAAGCGGUGGAGCAUGUGGUUUAAUUCGAAGCAACGCGAAGAACCUUACCAGGUCUUGACAUCUUUUGAUCACCUGAGAGAUCAGGUUUCCCCUUCGGGGGCAAAAUGACAGGUGGUGCAUGGUUGUCGUCAGCUCGUGUCGUGAGAUGUUGGGUUAAGUCCCGCAACGAGCGCAACCCUUAUGACUAGUUGCCAGCAUUUAGUUGGGCACUCUAGUAAGACUGCCGGUGACAAACCGGAGGAAGGUGGGGAUGACGUCAAAUCAUCAUGCCCCUUAUGACCUGGGCUACACACGUGCUACAAUGGAUGGUACAACGAGUUGCGAGACCGCGAGGUCAAGCUAAUCUCUUAAAGCCAUUCUCAGUUCGGACUGUAGGCUGCAACUCGCCUACACGAAGUCGGAAUCGCUAGUAAUCGCGGAUCAGCACGCCGCGGUGAAUACGUUCCCGGGCCUUGUACACACCGCCCGUCACACCAUGAGAGUUUGUAACACCCGAAG
RNAcentral lists this ribosomal RNA (1375 nucleotides) under Lacticaseibacillus rhamnosus. RNAcentral's name for it is "bacterial SSU rRNA". It matches the Rfam family "Bacterial small subunit ribosomal RNA", at positions 68 to 1426 of the family's 1533-position model. The record is from RNAcentral. Lineage: Bacteria; Bacillati; Bacillota; Bacilli; Lactobacillales; Lactobacillaceae.